UGUUAAAAGUUCCAUCUAUUUCUACUAUUAAAAACUGGCGUAGCUGACGAAAUAGCCAGUUAUAUAUGGCAUGUCACAUUUACCUCAUACUAAUGUACAGGGACCAGUUUUUAACCAUAAAAAUGGAUGGAAUUUUUAAUA
Non-coding RNA from Gossypium raimondii (Peruvian cotton), 141 nucleotides. The record is from Rfam. Lineage: Eukaryota; Viridiplantae; Streptophyta; Magnoliopsida; Malvales; Malvaceae.